Long non-coding RNA from Equus asinus (donkey), 2561 nucleotides. The record is from Ensembl. Lineage: Eukaryota; Metazoa; Chordata; Mammalia; Perissodactyla; Equidae.
GUGUUAAGGGGAUGAAUGGAUGAAUCAAUUAUGAAAUUGAAUUUCCUAAAAUGCUUCUAUGAAAACAGUGAAAUGAAAGCCAGUCAACUAAAACAUGGCAGAAAUCAUCAGAAGCUGUUAAAAACAUCCCAUCCACAAUAUAAACUGCUAUAAACUUUAUGAAUCAAACAAGGGCAAGAGAUGGUGGCUGGAGCGAUGCGAAGGCACUGGAUGGCAAGCCCUCCCUCGGCCGUGGGCAGGGGGUGACUGUCCCGAGAGCAGAGGGACUCCGUGAAGGAAGCUGACUCGGUGUGACUGCACGUGAGAAGAUCUGGAUACAGCCGCAUAACCUUCCCAGGAGAUAACCUGAAAUACAUUUUAAUAUUCCUGAAGGCUGAAACCUAAAUGUAUCUUUGCUUGACCAAAGAUAGUAUAUAUAUAUAUAUAUAUGUAUAUAUAUAUAUAUAUAUGCACACAUAUAUUUAUCUCUUUUUCCUAAAUGAUGGCAGAAGUCAGUUACAACUAAUAAAGGACUGAAAUAUGGUUUUUCUGUUGUGUCAAUGACCUGGUGGACCUAACGGCAUUUCAGAGAGAGACACAGUCAUCUUCACAGCAUUAAAAUGGAAUUUCAGGCAAAUUGUUAUUGACUGGCGUGAACAAUAGAUGAAAUCCUGGAUGUCAAAUGAGAGCAAAAGCUUGAGAGGGCCCCUAAACCUUGAUCUUUUUCUUUGACUUCUCUGUUGAAACAGCAAUCACGCAGUGACUGGGGGAGAGGCGAGCUUCGUAUCAGCUAAAGAUAAUUAAUUCUCAGAGACUAAUAAAUAAAGAUAACAAUAUGUCAUAUUAUGCUUAGCACAUCUGGUACCUCAAAACCGAGAAGCAAAGAAAAACUGAAAUUUGAGUCAGCCAUCCUAACUGGAAAAAUUGCCUCGAACGUGACUCUGAACUGCUUGUCCGUGAAACCAAGCUCUGCCUGCGCCAUCCUCGCCGGCCUUCAGCUCGGGACACGGCGCUGACGCGGUGGGGAAAGGCAGACGAUCGGCUUCCGGGCGGCUGAGGAGUCGGGUGGCACCAACGCUGUAAGUGGGUCAGUAUUUUCUCUCUCCUGCCUCGGUCUUCAAAUGUCAAAGAGCCAGGGAAAGGGCAGAAAAUGUAUUGAAAGUUAAGGACAACAAAAAAGAGCAAGAGGAAAAUUAUGAGCUACUUGUCUUAAGUUGUUGUCAUGAAGAAACCGAAUUUUAGUUAUUAAAAUCAGCAUUUUAGGACUGAGAGGAAAACUGAAAUUCACUUAGUCCAGUUUUCUUACUUUGUAGACGCAGAAGCAAAUGAUCACCUGAAGUGAAAGCAUCGUUUGAAUGAACAUAGAACUUAUCUCCUAAAUAUGGGUUCUGCUGGAGCUAGCCCACUGAUUAUUUUCAGUCUCUUUGAGAUUCCAUCUUUAUAUAAAAAUUCAACUGAGUUUUUUCCCCACAAAAAAAUAUGCUACAUACUUUAAAUAAUGGUCUUUUUUUUUUUAAGGAAAAGGUGUUGCUAUAUCAGGAAGAGGCAUAGAAAUUAAAAUUAUUGGAAAAACUGCUAAACCCUGUACAAAAUGUUAUGAACACAUUCUAUAUACCAGGCAUUGAGUCCAUUGGCUGACCUAACAGAACUGACAGCCCAGUGAAGGAAAAUAGACCCCUGAAUAAAUAUGUAAUAAUCUUAAUAAAAUGUGUCAUGAUUAGGGUAUAUAAAUACUGUGAAAAGAAUUGGAAGUAAAACAUCUUGAAAUAAUAAAAAUCAAUAUAAUUUGGAAGAUUUAUUGUAUUAAUAAAUGACCUUCAUUACAUUUAUCCAAGUCAGGACGACAAAAUGGAUGCUUUAAAUGGUGAAAAGCAGGAGAGAGAAAAAUUGGGCAGUUUUCAUUUCACACACUGUCAUUUCUUUCUUUUUUUUUUUGGUGAGGAAGAUUCACCCUGAGCUAACAUCUGUUGCCAAUCUUCCUUUUUUUUGUUUUUUUUUGGCUGGAGGAAGAUUAGCCCUGAGCUAACAUCUGUGCCAAUCUUCCUCUACUUGGUAUGUGGGAUGCCUCCACAGCAUGGCUGAUGAGUGGAGUAGGUCUGCACCAGGAUCUGAACCAUGAACCCAGGCCACCAAAGCGGAGUGCCCAGAACUUUAAUCACCUGUCCACAGGGCCAGCCCCUCACAGACUGUAAUUUCUAUAUUGGCUUAUGAAACAAAUACUUCAUGUUGGAAAGAAUAUAUGAAGAGCAUAGCACCUCGUAUGGAUCAGCAGGAAUUAUGCUGGCUGCUGGAGAUGCGGAGCUAAUAAGCAAUGUCCUGGAGGGAGAAAGACAAGGGAAAUAGCAAGCUAUAAUAUUAUAUAAGUGCUAUAAUAUUAAAGCACAGAUGGCUGGGUUUUGUUUUCUUUUUUUUGUUUCUCUUGAAUCUGGAUUGGCUAGCAGAGAGAAAUCUCCUUGGAGAAUACCAAAAAGAAAGAAACUACAGCCAUAAUUAGGAGCAGAAGCCCAAGCUCUGGAAGUAGGGAACAGACAGAAUACACAUUCUUUCACCUACUCUGAGUUGGUGCAGAUCUGGCAGGUGUG